RNAcentral lists this unclassified non-coding RNA (390 nucleotides) under soil metagenome. RNAcentral describes it as "partial contains 5.8S ribosomal RNA, internal transcribed spacer 2, and large subunit ribosomal RNA". The stretch from base 1 to 122 matches the Rfam family "5.8S ribosomal RNA", at positions 35 to 154 of the family's 154-position model. The record is from RNAcentral.
GAUGAAGAACGUAGCGAAAUGCGAUACUUGGUGUGAAUUGCAGAAUCCCGUGAACCAUCGAGUCUUUGAACGCAAGUUGCGCCCGAAGCCACUAGGCCGAGGGCACGCCUGCCUGGGCGUCACACGUCGUUCCCCCCCCAUCUACUCCUUCGGGAUUGCAGGGGGCGGAUGAUGGCCUCCCGUGCGCCUCGCCGCGCGGUUGGCAUAAAUACCAAGUCCGCGACGACGCACGCCACGACAAUCGGUGGUUGCGAAACCUCGGUUGCCCGUCGUGUGCGUUCGUCGCGCAUCGAGGGCUCGAAAAAAUGCUCGGCUCCGGCUCGGCUUUCAACGCGACCCCAGGUCAGGCGGGGUUACCCGCUGAAUUUAAGCAUAUCAAUAAGCGGAGGA